UAUUUGAUUAAUUUUCUCGUAUGGUUGGACUCGAAAUAAACAUAUAUAGACAUCUUUGUUUUAUUCACCAGGAGCCUCGAAAGAACGCGAACGACAGUCCCCCAACUGUUGUAGUUAAAUACGGAGAAGAAACAUGUAAAACAGAAACAACAACACAUAUAAACCCUUCAACGGAAAGGGGAGGCAACUGCCUUAGUCUGCGCUUUCCCCCUCUUUCCCGCAUAACAGAAAUGGUGGAGGCAAGUGGAAAGAUCCAUGGUACCCGUAAAGCGAGUAGUUUCCCGAAGAAUAGUGUAUUGAAAUUCGAAAAGAAAAUAAGUGUGUUAAAUAUAUUCUAAAGGAUAAAGUAGAAAGUAGUAUGGAGAAAGGAGAAUCGAUAAAGGAAAAUGGAGAAAGGAGACAGGAGAAUAGAGAUGGACCAUUUGGAACAGAGAAAGGAGAACAAAGAACGGAGAAGGAAGAAUCGAAAAAGAAAAUGGAGAAAGGAGACAGGAGAAUGGAAUAGGAGCAUGCAGAACGGAGAAAGGAGAAAGAAGUACGCAGAAUAGAGAACGGAGAAAUGUGUAACAUUACGAAGCUUAACUCGGACACUGAUUCUGAACAGUGGGAUUUAAAAUGAACUGUAUUGUUUCAUUCUUUGUGUAUAUAAUGUAUAUAUG
This 659-nucleotide long non-coding RNA is filed under the name Mytilus galloprovincialis (Mediterranean mussel). Lineage: Eukaryota; Metazoa; Mollusca; Bivalvia; Mytilida; Mytilidae. The record is from RNAcentral.